Non-coding RNA from Chlorocebus sabaeus (green monkey), 418 nucleotides. The record is from RefSeq and is a predicted model, not a curated record. Lineage: Eukaryota; Metazoa; Chordata; Mammalia; Primates; Cercopithecidae.
AAGUAAAAUAAAAAAUAAAAAUAAAAUAAAAUAAAUGAACUAACCUUUUGAUUCCAGAAGAUAAUACAGUUGACCCUUGGACAAUACAAAUUUGAACUGCGUGAGUCCACUUACAUAGAUUUUUUUCUGCCUCUGCCAGUCCUGAGACAACAAAACCAACCCCUCUUCUUUCUCCUUCUCAGCCUAAUCAAUGUGAAGAUGAUGAGGAUGAAGACCUUUAUGAUGAUCCACUUCGACUUAAUGAAUAAAAGAAAAGUCUCAAUUGCUCAGACUUCUGUGAUCUGGCCCCACUGUGUCUGGGCAGACUCACCGCCCACUCUUCCUGUUCCCAUCCCUAAAGGUCCAGUCAAUCUGGCUGCCCACCAGUCUUCAGAGACGGGGUUUUGCCAUGUUGCCCAGGCUGGUCUAGAACUCCUGA